GGCUGGUCUCAAACUCCUGGGCUCAAGCCAGUCUGCUGCCUUGGCCUCCCAGAGUGCGGGGAUUGCAGGCUGAGCCACCAUACCUGGCCCAGAUAAAUUUCUUUUACCCUACUCUACUUCCACUGCUUUACUUGACUAGCCUUAA
RNAcentral lists this small RNA (145 nucleotides) under Colobus angolensis palliatus. RNAcentral's name for it is "Y RNA (ENSCANG00000005703.1)". Lineage: Eukaryota; Metazoa; Chordata; Mammalia; Primates; Cercopithecidae. The record is from RNAcentral.